RNAcentral lists this ribosomal RNA (880 nucleotides) under Phytophthora palmivora. Its description in RNAcentral is "eukaryotic LSU rRNA". The stretch from base 304 to 458 matches the Rfam family "5.8S ribosomal RNA". Lineage: Eukaryota; Oomycota; Peronosporomycetes; Peronosporales; Peronosporaceae. The record is from RNAcentral.
GACCCCCAACUAAGUUUGAUACGUUCACUGAAAGUUUUAGGUGUGGUAAUGUUCCUUUUUCUGUAGGUGAACAUGCGGAAGGAUCAUUACCACACAUAAAAACUUUCCACGUGAACCGUAUCAAAACUUAGUUGGGGGUCUCUUUCGGCGGCGGCUGCUGGCUUCAUUGCUGGCGGCUGCUGUUGGGAGAGCUCUAUCAUGGCGAGCGUUUGGGCUUCGGUCUGAACUAGUAGCUUUUUUAAACCCAUUCUUUAUAACUGAUUAUACUGUAGGGACGAAAGUCUCUGCUUUUAACUAGAUAGCAACUUUCAGCAGUGGAUGUCUAGGCUCGCACAUCGAUGAAGAACGCUGCGAACUGCGAUACGUAAUGCGAAUUGCAGGAUUCAGUGAGUCAUCGAAAUUUUGAACGCAUAUUGCACUUCCGGGUUAGUCCUGGGAGUAUGCCUGUAUCAGUGUCCGUACAUCAAACUUGGUUUUCUUCCUUCCGUGUAGUCGGUGGUGGAUGUGCCAGAUGUGAAGUGUCUUGCGGCUGGUCUUCGGAUCGGCUGUGAGUCCUUUGAAAUGUACUGAACUGUACUUCUCUUUGCUCCAAAAGCGUGGCGUUGCUGAUUGUGGAGGCUGCUUGCGUAGCCAGUCUGGCGACCAGUUUGUCUGCUGUGGCGUUAAUGGAGGAGUGUUCGAUUCGCGGUAUGGUUGGCUUCGGCUGAACAGACGCUUAUUGAAUAUUUCUUCAGCUGUGGUGGUAUGAUUGGUGAACCGUAGCUAUGUGAGCUUGGCUUUUGAAUUGGCUUUGCUGUUGCGAAGUAGAGUGGCGGCUUCGGCUGUCGAGGGUCGAUCCAUUUGGGAACUUGUGUAUGCUUCGGCAUGCAUCUCAAUGACC